UGGAGGACUCGAUUGUGGACCCACAGA
Molecule: non-coding RNA, 27 nt
Filed under: Rattus norvegicus (Norway rat)
Lineage: Eukaryota; Metazoa; Chordata; Mammalia; Rodentia; Muridae
Source: RNAcentral